GAUGAACGCUGGCGGCGUGCCUAAUACAUGCAAGUCGAGCGAACAGACGAGGAGCUUGCUCCUCUGACGUUAGCGGCGGACGGGUGAGUAACACGUGGAUAACCUACCUAUAAGACUGGGAUAACUUCGGGAAACCGGAGCUAAUACCGGAUAAUAUAUUGAACCGCAUGGUUCAAUAGUGAAAGACGGUUUUGCUGUCACUUAUAGAUGGAUCCGCGCCGCAUUAGCUAGUUGGUAAGGUAACGGCUUACCAAGGCAACGAUGCGUAGCCGACCUGAGAGGGUGAUCGGCCACACUGGAACUGAGACACGGUCCAGACUCCUACGGGAGGCAGCAGUAGGGAAUCUUCCGCAAUGGGCGAAAGCCUGACGGAGCAACGCCGCGUGAGUGAUGAAGGUCUUCGGAUCGUAAAACUCUGCUAUUAGGGAAGAACAAAUGUGUAAGUAACUAUGCACGUCUUGACGGUACCUAAGCAGAAAGCCACGGCUAACUACGU
This 496-nucleotide ribosomal RNA is filed under the name uncultured bacterium. RNAcentral's name for it is "partial 16S ribosomal RNA". It matches the Rfam family "Bacterial small subunit ribosomal RNA", at positions 28 to 506 of the family's 1533-position model. The record is from RNAcentral.